This 403-nucleotide ribosomal RNA is filed under the name uncultured bacterium. RNAcentral describes it as "bacterial SSU rRNA". It matches the Rfam family "Bacterial small subunit ribosomal RNA", at positions 355 to 774 of the family's 1533-position model. The record is from RNAcentral.
UAGGGAAUAUUGCAAAAUGGGCGAAAGCCCGAUGCAGCAACGCCGCGUGGGCGAUGAAGGCCUUCGGGUCGUAAAGCCCUUUUUGAGGGGAUGAGGAAGGACAGUACCCUCAGAAUAAGCCUCGGCUAACUACGUGCCAGCAGCCGCGGUAAAACGUAGGAGGCGAGCGUUAUCCGGAUUUACUGGGCGUAAAGCGCGUGUAGGCGGAUUGGAGAGUUGGAUGUGAAAGCUCCCGGCUUAACUGGGAGAGGUCGUUCAAUACUUCCAGUCUUGAGUGCAGUAGAGGGAAGUGGAAUUCCGGGUGUAGUGGUGAAAUGCGUAGAUAUCCGGAGGAACACCAGUGGCGAAAGCGGCUUCCUGGACUGUAACUGACGCUCAGACGCGAAAGCUAGGGCAGCAAACG